UAAAAAAGGAAACUGGCGGUAAAGCCACUCUCUCUCUCUGCGGUUGGAUCCAUUUUCUUCUUGUGAAUCUGAGAUGUUCGAUUCUGCAUCUGCAACCGGAGAGCGUCUCUCUCGCCCUCGGCGAACUAGCUCACAAGCAAUUCGAAAGUCCAGAGAGCUUCAUCUGCGCCUGAAGACGAUUCAGCUCUCGCAGGCUUCGCAGAUCGGAAGCACCAUACAAAUUCAAAGGAUGUUCUCUUAUUGGUGGUAGACAAAUGAAGAACAUUGUCUUAUCUAUUGGAACUACCUAGAUGAUGGAGUUUGUGACUUUAAAAUGCAAAGGUGGAGAGUUAGUAUACAAACCUUGCAAAUGCACUUGCAAAAUGCC
Long non-coding RNA from Rosa rugosa (rugosa rose), 367 nucleotides. RefSeq lists it as uncharacterized. The record is from RefSeq and is a predicted model, not a curated record. NCBI's taxonomy places the organism in Eukaryota, Viridiplantae, Streptophyta, Magnoliopsida, Rosales, Rosaceae. The transcript has 3 exons.